AGAGUUUGAUCCUGGCUCAGAACGAACGCUGGCGGCAUGCCUAACACAUGCAAGUCGAACGCUCUUGGGGCUUCGGUUUCAAGGGAGUGGCGCACGGGUGAGUAGCGCGUGGGAACCUGCCCUGUUGUGGGGGAUAACCGAGGGAAACUUCGGCUAAUACCGCAUACGCCGGUUGUCUUGAGAGAGAUGGCCGGGAAAGAUUGAUCGCAGCAGGAGGGGCCCGCGUCGGAUUAGGUAGUUGGUGGGGUAACGGCCUACCAAGCCUGUGAUCCGUAGCUGGUCUGAGAGGAUGAUCAGCCACACUGGGACUGAGACACGGCCCAGACUCCUACGGGAGGCAGCAGUGGGGAAUAUUGGACAAUGGGCGCAAGCCUGAUCCAGCAAUGCCGCGUGAGUGAUGAAGGCCUUCGGGUUGUAAAGCUCUUUCGCACGCGACGAUGAUGACGGUAGCGUGAGAAGAAGCCCCGGCUAACUUCGUGCCAGCAGCCGCGGUAAUACGAAGGGGGCGAGCGUUGUUCGGAUUUACUGGGCGUAAAGGGCGCGUAGGCGGCGAUGAAAGUCAGGCGUGAAAGCCCCGGGCUCAACCUGGGAGGUGCGCUUGGGACUACAUUGCUGGAGUUCGGGAGAGGAGCGUGGAAUUCCCAGUGUAGAGGUGAAAUUCGUAGAUAUUGGGAAGAACACCGGUGGCGAAGGCGGCGCUCUGGACCGAUACUGACGCUGAGGCGCGAAAGCGUGGGGAGCAAACAGGAUUAGAUACCCUGGUAGUCCACGCUGUAAACGAUGUGUGCUAGACGUUGGAGAGCCUAGCUCUUCGGUGUCGCCGCUA
RNAcentral lists this ribosomal RNA (826 nucleotides) under uncultured bacterium. Its description in RNAcentral is "bacterial SSU rRNA". It matches the Rfam family "Bacterial small subunit ribosomal RNA", at positions 8 to 854 of the family's 1533-position model. The record is from RNAcentral.